Molecule: transfer RNA, 68 nt
Filed under: Perameles nasuta (long-nosed bandicoot)
Lineage: Eukaryota; Metazoa; Chordata; Mammalia; Peramelemorphia; Peramelidae
Description: tRNA-Thr
Rfam family: tRNA
About the family: Transfer RNA (tRNA) molecules are approximately 80 nucleotides in length. Their secondary structure includes four short double-helical elements and three loops (D, anti-codon, and T loops).
Source: RNAcentral
GUCCAAGUAAUUUAACCAAAAUACUGGCCUUGUAAGCCAGCAACGAAGGAAAACUCCUUCCUAGGACA